This 698-nucleotide long non-coding RNA is filed under the name Homo sapiens (human). RNAcentral's name for it is "HSALNT0102664". Lineage: Eukaryota; Metazoa; Chordata; Mammalia; Primates; Hominidae. The record is from RNAcentral.
CCCUCCAGGUUCAAGCAAUCCUCCCGCCUCAGCCUCCCAAGUAGCUGGGAUUACAGGCACAUGCCACCACACCCAGCUAAUUUUUGUAUUUUUAGGAGAGAUGAGGUUUCACCAUGCUGGUCUCGAACUCCUGACCUCAGGUGAUCCACCCACCUUGGCCUCCCAAAGUGCUGGGAUUAGAGUCGUGAGCCACCGCGCCUGGCCUAUGAUCGUCUGUUUAUAGCAAUAAAUGAUCUAGCCACAAGAUGUCCUCAUAAACUAAAUAAUACACACCGAGCAGGAAUAAGGUGUAAACUUAACCUCAUUCACACAUUUAUGUGAUUCUUUAUAGCAGGCAUUGGCAAUGUAAAAAAUGAAUGAAGUUUAAUCCCUGCUCUUAGCGGGUUCAGUGUCUAAAGGAAGAGACAAGUACAAAAACUGCAGAGGAAGAAACUGUUGUAGACAGAAUAAAUACAGGUUUCUUGGAGUAAAGAUAUCUAACUUUUAAAAAUGUAUAUUUCCAGGGAAAAGACAUUAGGAAAGGCUUCCUGGAGAACGACAUCUGAGUCUUGAAGAACAGGCAGGAGUUAUCCAGGUGAAGAUAAGGGAAAAAGCCAGGCAGUUGAAGAAAUAGAACUAAAUACGAGCGGCUUGUAGACAGCAAAGGUCAAAUAAGAGAAUUAAACCAACGGAAGAUGAUGAAGGAAUGUCCUGCCCAC